CCACUGAUCUGAAGCUGCAGUGCUUGUUAAAUUGGAUGGUUCUUUAUUCCAGAUGUCGCAAAGUUGAGGGAAACUCUUAAAAACACAGAACUUGAGAAGAUCCGCAAGAACUUUGGUAAAGAACUUUGCAGAAUCAUAGACUCCUACAGUGUGGAAGCAGACCAUUCAGCCCACACUGAACCUCCCUAUCCCUUUACAUCCCAUGGCUUGCCCACCUAGCCUGCACAUCCCUGGACAUUAGGGGCAAUAUCCCACGGCCAAUCCAUCUAACCCGCACAUCUUUGGACUGUGGGUGGAAACCGGAGCACCCAGAGGAAACCCACGCAGGCAGGGGGAGAACGUACAAUCUCCACACAGGGCCGCCCGAGGGUGGAAUCGAACCCGGGUCCCUGGCACUGACCACUGAGCCACCAGGCCUGCAAUUCAAGUCAAACUUGGCUUAAAAUCGGAAAAGCACUGGGAUUCAAAGGAAAUUAGUUCCUGCUAAGUCAGUAAAAGCUUCAUCAAUUAGACAUGGAUUGAUGGUUUCUUUUUUUUCUUUCUGACUUCAACAGUGGAUACGUGCCAAAAGAUGGAAGAUACUGAAAUCAGAACACUGGAAUAAAGAGCGGACCAGGAAUGCCUUAAAGAACAAUGGUUUAUAUGCUAUUAAUAAACGGAAAAUAAAAUUUCUACAGCCUCCAAUUCCUUUGCAAUUGCAAGUAGCCGAGGACUACAGGCAACUACAAUGGGGCAGAUAGCAGUAUAUUCCCCACACUGUUAAAUGAGGGGAGGCUAUAACGGUGUGAUGUUAGGGCAGGAGAGAGACAGAGGUUCACCCAGCCAUUACGCGUCCUGCCUGAUUUGUAUCUCACACAAAGAACUAGCAAUCUGCCCCACUGAUCUAAAGACUCCAAGGGAAGUGAAAAUGAUAAUGAAUCAAACCCCCAACCACCCACCAGUGCAGACCUUUAGCUUUGCAUCCGAACCACGAACAUUGCCCUGGUAAGCUUAGAAGCGAAGCUCACCCAAUUUUCCUUUCCUGUCAAACUCGAAGCUGGUAAAAUUAAAGCAGUAUCCAUAUUGCCCUGGAUUUCCGUCCUCUUGUCGCUGCCUGUGUGUAAGACCAUAAGACAUA
Molecule: long non-coding RNA, 1117 nt
Organism: Chiloscyllium plagiosum (whitespotted bambooshark)
Lineage: Eukaryota; Metazoa; Chordata; Chondrichthyes; Orectolobiformes; Hemiscylliidae
Source: RefSeq, a predicted model, not a curated record